Molecule: non-coding RNA, 2692 nt
Organism: Peromyscus maniculatus bairdii (prairie deer mouse)
Lineage: Eukaryota; Metazoa; Chordata; Mammalia; Rodentia; Cricetidae
Source: RefSeq, a predicted model, not a curated record
GGGAGGCAGAGACUGGUGGAUUCCUAGGGCUGGCUGGCCAGCCAGCCUGGCCCAAUGGGUGAACUCCAGGAUGGCACCGGAGGACAUGCACACACACACUCAACACACUAGCAGUUAAUGUGCAUGUGCAUACACAUACACACACACACACACACACACACACACACACAACGAAAGAAAAUAGAAAAGGUCACUUCACCAUGUGGUUUCAACAGCUCUCCCAGCACCUAGAACAUCAGAAGUAACCAGCGCUUGGAAAAGGACCACUGUCACAGAAGUGCUAACAACGGUGGAAGACAAUGAAAGCUGCUUGGCAACGUUUUGCUGUGAAGACUGAAGGAGACAAAACGUUGGACAUGCUAACAUGGUGCCAGCUGACAGAAGACACCCAGGAAAUAGAGGCAUUGCCAACUUCUAGCUGCCACACGAUCAAAUGGUCUAAACACAUCCCAAAGGGAAAAGAUUCUGGCUCGUCCAACUGCUGAAAUGAGAACAGAAAGAAAACGCAGCAUCCUUAACCUGAGACAGGAGCUCUGCACCGGAUAGUGAGGGGUUUUGGGGGGCAGUGGUAGGUUUGCACGUAGCCCAGAUUGGCAUCAAACCCCUUAUGUAGCCAGAGAUGACCUUUAAUGUCUGAAACUCCUGCCUCUGCUUCCCAAGGACUGGGAUUACAGGACUGCACCACUCCACAUUUCUGGCCCUGCAGAUGAGUUUCAAUAGCAUGGGACAUUGGGAGAAGGUGCAAGCACGUGUGUGCAGCUCCACAGAAAGGGCCGUGAAAUAGAUGAACGGGUAUUGCACAGCUCAGCUAGAGGUGCUGCUGGUUUGUGGUCCCCCCAAAGAGAAGCACCUGCUGACCCUUCUUGACCUUCUGAUGGCCAACACUUCACAGUAAUGAGCUUCUGUAAGGCACACACGUGUGGUCCUUGUUUCCAGCUGCUAGAGGAAAGUAUAGCAAAAGGUGCAAUGCUCUUAAAAGCGUAAAUUCGAGUUUAUUAGACUGGGAUGAAAGAUGUGUUAAAGCACAGUUUACAGUGAAAGGACUCCCAGGACCAAAACGCUUGAAAAGUACAGUCCCAGCAAGAGAAGCAAAGGGAAUGUGUGUGUGUGUGUGUGUGUGUGUGUGUGUGUGUGUGUGUGUGUUACUCAAGUGGGUGAACACAUGUGUGUAUGCGUAAGGACGUCAGCAGCCAGGCCUAUGUGUCUUCCUCUACUUCUCUCCAUCUUAUUUUUGGGGACAGGGUCCCUCACUAAACCUGGAGCUUGCUGGUUUGCUAGAUAGACUGGCUUAUCCCGUGUCCACCCCGUACUGGGAUUUUAGCAGCACGCUACCAUGCUGGACUUUUAAAUGUGAGUUCCAAGGAUCUGAACUCAGGGCCUCAUGCUUGUGUGGCGAGCAUUUUAUUCACUAUCCUAUCUCACAGCUUCAAGGUCUAAGCAUCUUAAGUAUUCUUAGUGUUGGUGUUUAUUUACCCAGGAGAGGGAGGAUUUUGGGGGUAAUAAAGCCUGGGCAGCUUCUAAAACAUAGAACAAAAAGGUUGAGGUGAAAAUAAAAUAACUGAGUCAAGAUGUGUUUCAGGCUGGCUUGUGGGAGCUAUGGAUGCUCACAUUCAUGAAGAUGGCUCCAUAUGUGCCUUUGUCGGAAUUCUCGUGUUGAAUCUUCUGAUGGCAAAUCUUGGUUGUCAACUUGACACACCUGGGAAGAUGGGUCUCAACUGAGGACUCUCCUUCAUCAAAUAUAGGGGGAGAUGUUGCAGGUAUUUGAACAAACUGUGUGAAGAUGUGCUGCUGUUUUACCUUAUGCAGGCAUUUGAUUGGUUUAAUAAAGAGCCGAGUGGCCAAUAGCUGGCAGGAGAGGUGAGGCGGGACUUCCGGGCAGAGAGAGGAACUCUGGGAAGAAGAGAGGUAGUGACACCAUGGAGAUGCAAAACAAGUUGGACAUACAGAAUGGAGAAGACGUAAAAAGCCAUGUGGCAAAAUACAGAGGAAUAGGGAUGGGUUAAUUUAAGUUCUAAGGCCAAGCUUUCAUAAUUAAUAAUAAGUCUCCAUGUCAUUAUUUGGGGGCUGGUGGUUCAAAGAAAGUCCAACAAGAAAGACCUGACACAAGGAGCAUUUAGUAGCUCAAAACUGUAAUCUUCCAUCUUCCACUGAUUUGCUGGUGACUUUUGAGUUAAACUUGGAGUUUCUUGUCUAGAAAAUGCACACAAUUAAUGACCAGGGUACUUGAGAACUUUGUUUUCCCUGUAGUGACAUGUUAUAAUUGCCACAUUACUGUGAUAAAAUUUGGGGAAAUACCUGAAUAUUUGGGCUGUUUUUCCCCCUAGCAUUUUGACUGCCAUGCACAUAUGAGGUACUGAGCUAUGCUUAUGGGUAAAAAUGAUGACUAAUGGCUACAUUUGCCAUGAGGGUGACACACGAGUUCCAGAUUCAUCUCCUGACUCAUUUAUUCAGCUCUCUAUUUUCUGCGUUCAUUUGCAUCAGCGCUUUGGCAUCUACAAUGUGCCACACAUGGUAUUGUAUGCUGGUGACGCCGCACUGAAAAAGAAUGGCUGCUGCCCCCUGGAGGCGCUUCACUCAAAUUACACUCUGGCGUGUUGCCGCUUGCUCUUCCACCCUCUUGGUUUCCAUCGCGCGGGUCUGGAUGAAACCAUACGCUGUCUUGGAACUGAAUAUCAUUUCAUUUGCUCUUUGA